RNAcentral lists this ribosomal RNA (2134 nucleotides) under Laribacter hongkongensis. RNAcentral describes it as "partial 23S ribosomal RNA". It matches the Rfam family "Bacterial large subunit ribosomal RNA", at positions 801 to 2925 of the family's 2925-position model. The record is from RNAcentral. Lineage: Bacteria; Pseudomonadati; Pseudomonadota; Betaproteobacteria; Neisseriales; Aquaspirillaceae.
GGGAUGAGCUGUGGAUAGGGGUGAAAGGCUAAACAAAUCCGGAAAUAGCUGGUUCUCUCCGAAAACUAUUUAGGUAGUGCCUCGAGAUUACACUGACGGGGGUAGAGCACUGUUAUGGCUAGGGGGUCAUUGCGAUUUACCAACCCAUGGCAAACUCCGAAUACCGUCAAGUGCGUCCUCGGGAGACAGACAGCGGGUGCUAACGUCCGUUGUCAAGAGGGAAACAACCCAGACCGCCAGCUAAGGUCCCAAAUGACAUGCUAAGUGGUAAACGAAGUGGGAAGGCCAAGACAGCCAGGAUGUUGGCUUAGAAGCAGCCAUCAUUCAAAGAAAGCGUAAUAGCUCACUGGUCGAGUCGUCCUGCGCGGAAGAUGUAACGGGGCUCAAGCAUGUAACCGAAGCUGCGGAUGCGUACUUGUACGCAUGGUAGGAGAGCGUUCUGUAGGCCUGCGAAGGUGGUGGUGUAAACCCUGCUGGAGGUAUCAGAAGUGCGAAUGCUGACAUGAGUAGCGAUAAAGCGGGUGAAAGUCCCGCUCGCCGAAAACCCAAGGUUUCCUACGCAACGUUCAUCGGCGUAGGGUGAGUCGGCCCCUAAGGCGAGGCAGAAAUGCGUAGUCGAUGGGAAACGGGUCAAGAUUCCCGUACCGGUUGUGAAUGCGAUGGGGGGACGGAGAAGGGUAGCUCAGCGGCCUGUUGGAAUAGGUCGUUUAAGCGUGUAGGAGUGGUCUCCUGGCAAAUCCGGAGAUCUUAUCUGAGGCGUGAUGACGAGGGUCUACGGACCUGAAGUGAGUAAUCCCAAGCUUCCAGGAAAAGCCUCUAAGCUUCAGUUCACAACUGACCGUACCGCAAACCGACACAGGUGGGUAGGUAGAGAAUACCAAGGCGCUUGAGAGAACUCGGGUUAAGGAACUCGGCAAAUUGACACCGUAACUUCGGGAGAAGGUGUGCCCCGGUAGCGUGUAGGACUUCGCGUCCGAAGCGUGAUGGGGUCGCAGAGAAUAGGUGGCUGCGACUGUUUAAUAAAAACACAGCUCUGUGCCAACACGAAAGUGGACGUAUACGGAGUGACGCCUGCCCGGUGCCGGAAGGUUAAGUGAUGGGGUGCAAGCUCUUGAUCGAAGCCCCGGUAAACGGCGGCCGUAACUAUAACGGUCCUAAGGUAGCGAAAUUCCUUGUCGGGUAAGUUCCGACCCGCACGAAUGGCGUAACGAUGGCCACACUGUCUCAACCCGAGACUCAGCGAAGUUGAAAUGUUUGUGAAGAUGCAAUCUCCCCGCUGCUAGACGGAAAGACCCCGUGAACCUUUACUGUAGCUUUGCAUUGGACUUUGAACAGGCUUGUGUAGGAUAGGUGGGAGGCUUUGAAGCUGAGACGCUAGUUUCAGUGGAGCCGUCCUUGAAAUACCACCCUGGUGUGUUUGAGGUUCUAACCUGGGUCCAUCAUCUGGAUCGGGGACCGUGCAUGGUAGGCAGUUUGACUGGGGCGGUCUCCUCCCAAAGUGUAACGGAGGAGUUCGAAGGUUACCUAGGUACGGUCGGACAUCGUACUGAUAGUGCAAUGGCAAAAGGUAGCUUGACUGCGAGACCGACAAGUCGAGCAGGUGCGAAAGCAGGACAUAGUGAUCCGGUGGUUCUGAAUGGAAGGGCCAUCGCUCAACGGAUAAAAGGUACUCCGGGGAUAACAGGCUGAUUCCGCCCAAGAGUUCAUAUCGACGGCGGAGUUUGGCACCUCGAUGUCGGCUCAUCACAUCCUGGGGCUGUAGCCGGUCCCAAGGGUAUGGCUGUUCGCCAUUUAAAGUGGUACGUGAGCUGGGUUUAAAACGUCGUGAGACAGUUUGGUCCCUAUCUGCAGUGGGCGUUGGAAGUUUGAGGGGGGCUGCUCCUAGUACGAGAGGACCGGAGUGGACGCAUCUCUGGUGUACCGGUUGUGACGCCAGUCGCAUCGCCGGGUAGCUAUAUGCGGAAGAGAUAAACGCUGAAAGCAUCUAAGCGUGAAACUCGCCUCAAGAUGAGACUUCCCUGGAGACUUGAUCUCCCUGAAGGGCCGUGGAAGACCACCACGUUGAUAGGUCGGGUGUGGAAGCGCAGUAAUGCGUUAAGCUAACCGAUACUAAUUACCCGUGAGGCUUGAUCCU